GGGCCGUUAGCUCAGUUGGUAGAGCAGUGGACUUUUAAUCCAUUGGUCGCAGGUUCGAGCCCUGCACGGCCUACCA
This 76-nucleotide transfer RNA is filed under the name Dehalococcoidales bacterium. RNAcentral describes it as "tRNA-Lys". It matches the Rfam family "tRNA". Rfam says of the family: Transfer RNA (tRNA) molecules are approximately 80 nucleotides in length. Their secondary structure includes four short double-helical elements and three loops (D, anti-codon, and T loops). Further hydrogen bonds mediate the characteristic L-shaped molecular structure. tRNAs have two regions of fundamental functional importance: the anti-codon, which is responsible for specific mRNA codon recognition, and the 3' end, to which the tRNAs corresponding amino acid is attached (by aminoacyl-tRNA synthetases). tRNAs cope with the degeneracy of the genetic code in two manners: having more than one tRNA (with a specific anti-codon) for a particular amino acid; and 'wobble' base-pairing, i.e. permitting non-standard base-pairing at the 3rd anti-codon position. The record is from RNAcentral. Lineage: Bacteria; Bacillati; Chloroflexota; Dehalococcoidia; Dehalococcoidales.